AACGCACAUUGCGCCCGCCAGUAUUCUGGCGGGCAUGCCUGUCUGAGCGUCAUUUCAACCCUCACGCCCCCCAGGGGCCGUGGUGUUGGGGACCGGCUCCAGGGCUCCCUCCGGGGGGCCCGGGCCGCCCCCUAAAUGCAUUGGCGGACCCGCUGUAGCCUCCCGCGCGUAGUAGCACUAUUUCGCGUCGUGGCGGCCGGCGAGCCCCUGCCGUAAAACCCCCCACCAUCUCAAGGUUGACCUCAGAUCAGGUAGGAAUACCCGCUGAACUUAA
Molecule: unclassified non-coding RNA, 274 nt
Filed under: uncultured fungus
Lineage: Eukaryota; Fungi
Description: sequence contains ITS2
Rfam family: 5.8S ribosomal RNA (bases 1-52)
Source: RNAcentral